AUACGGAGGGGGUUAGCGUUGUUCGGAAUUACUGGGCGUAAAGCGCACGUAGGCGGAUUAGUAAGUUAGAGGUGAAAUCCCAGGGCUCAACCCUGGAACUGCCUUUAAUACUGCUAGUCUUGAGUUCGAGAGAGGUAAGUGGAAUUCCUAGUGUAGAGGUGAAAUUCGUAGAUAUUAGGAGGAACACCAGUGGCGAAGGCGGCUUACUGGCUCGAUACUGACGCUGAGGUGCGAAAGCGUGGGGAGCAAACAGGAUUAGAUACCCUAGUAGUCC
RNAcentral lists this ribosomal RNA (274 nucleotides) under uncultured bacterium. RNAcentral's name for it is "partial 16S ribosomal RNA". It matches the Rfam family "Bacterial small subunit ribosomal RNA", at positions 523 to 796 of the family's 1533-position model. The record is from RNAcentral.